GAGGAAUAUUGCGCAAUGGGCGAAAGCCUGACGCAGCAACGCCGCGUGGGUGAUGAAGUCUCUUGGGACGUAAAACCCUUUCGACGGGGAAGAAACCGCAAGGUUGACGGUACCCGUAGAAGAAGCCCCGGCUAACUCCGUGCCAGCAGCCGCGGUAAUACGGAGGGCGCGAGCGUUGUCCGGAAUCACUGGGCGUAAAGGGCGCGUAGGCGGUAUGCCAAGCGUGUGGUGAAAGCCCGGGGCUCAACCCCGGGUCGGCCGUGCGGACUGGCGUGCUCGAGCACUGUAGGGGCGGGUGGAAUUCCGGGUGUAGCGGUGGAAUGCGUAGAGAUCCGGAAGAACACCGGUGGCGAAGGCGGCCCGCUGGGCAGGAAGGCUUCGUAAGAGGCCGGCUGACGCUGAGGCGCGACAGCGUGGGGAGCAAAC
RNAcentral lists this ribosomal RNA (426 nucleotides) under uncultured bacterium. RNAcentral's name for it is "bacterial SSU rRNA". It matches the Rfam family "Bacterial small subunit ribosomal RNA", at positions 356 to 773 of the family's 1533-position model. The record is from RNAcentral.